This is a non-coding RNA of Cinara cedri, 206 nucleotides long. NCBI's taxonomy places the organism in Eukaryota, Metazoa, Arthropoda, Insecta, Hemiptera, Aphididae. The record is from the annotation of a GenBank genome assembly.
AGAUACUUAACUUAAAAAGACUGAUACUGCUGUUGGGUGUGCUACUGUUUCAGAAAGGAAGUUGAAAGAAGGUAUGAUAUGUAUAAUAUCAUGUUCAGUAAUUUAAUUUCUCUAUGUAAUUAUAAACCGUUGUUAACGAAAAACUAUUAUGAGCAGAUUAUUAUUAGUUAGAUACCAACAAAACUUUUAUAAACAGUUUCCAAUGU